GAACGCACAUUGCGCCCGCCAGUAUUCUGGCGGGCAUGCCUGUUCGAGCGUCAUUUCAACCCUCAGGCCCCCAGUGCCUGGCGUUGGGGAUCGGCGCGGCGCCCUCCGGGGCGCUGCCGGCCCCGAAAUUCAGUGGCGGUCUCGCUGUAGCCCUCCUCCGCGUAGUAGCACAACCCCGCGGCCUGGAGCUCGGCGGUGGCCAUGCCGUAAAACACCCCACUUCUGAAAGUUGACCUCGGAUCAGGUAGGAAUACCCGCUGAACUUAAG
Molecule: unclassified non-coding RNA, 268 nt
Filed under: uncultured Myrothecium
Lineage: Eukaryota; Fungi; Ascomycota; Sordariomycetes; Hypocreales
Description: sequence contains 5.8S rRNA gene
Rfam family: 5.8S ribosomal RNA (bases 1-53)
Source: RNAcentral